ACGUAGGGGGCGAGCGUUGUCCGGAAUCACUGGGCGUAAAGCGCACGUAGGCGGGCUGUCAAGUCGGCCGUGAAAGGCACGGGCUCAACCUGUGCAUGUCGGUCGAUACUGGCGGUCUGGAGUGUGGGAGAGGGGACUGGAAUUCCCGGUGUAGUGGUGAAAUGCGUAGAUAUCGGGAGGAACACCAGUGGCGAAGGCGGGUGCCUGGACAAUGACUGACGCUAAGGUGCGAAAGCGGGGAGAGCGAACGG
RNAcentral lists this ribosomal RNA (251 nucleotides) under uncultured prokaryote. Its description in RNAcentral is "partial 16S rRNA". It matches the Rfam family "Bacterial small subunit ribosomal RNA", at positions 525 to 775 of the family's 1533-position model. The record is from RNAcentral.